UUAUGACAUUAACAGAGAACAGGACUAUGUCAAGAAUUCUGGGGGUAUACUUGGUGAAAAUGAAUUAAGACCACCCUCCCAGCUACAUUCUCUCUUAGAGAAGACCAAGCCAGGGUUCAUAUCAGAAAAGAUUUUUGAUACAGUGUCCUUGAGUUCAGACUCUCUCUUCCAGAGGGCAGUUUCAAUUCUUCAUACUUCUUACUUGGACUCUGCAUCUGGGCAUGGUUUUCAGUACAGUCAAGUGACUUUGGUGAAAAAUGACAUUUUCUUAAAUGAGUACAAAACUUUUUACCAAGAAAAAAAAUCAAGUAAUUAUACUCAGGAAGAACUUCAAGAGACUUAUGGGUUUCUUCUGUUUGAAACUGAAAAUCAGGCAAAGUUAGUAUGUCAGCGCGGGCUCUGUGUGGGCAGCAGUGCUAUAACCACUCUCGGUGACCCAGCAAAAGGUGUGUAUAUUUCCAAAUACUCCGACUAUCUUCAUGCAAGACCAUGGUAUCAUGGGAAGUGUGGUUAUGUUGUAAUUUUUAACCUAAUUAA
Molecule: non-coding RNA, 537 nt
Organism: Leptonychotes weddellii (Weddell seal)
Lineage: Eukaryota; Metazoa; Chordata; Mammalia; Carnivora; Phocidae
Source: RefSeq, a predicted model, not a curated record